UAUCUGCAGUCGAGCGACUGAUUAGAAGCUUGCUUCUAUGACGUUAGCGGCGGACGGGUGAGUAACACGUGGGCAACCUGCCUGUAAGACUGGGAUAACUCCGGGAAACCGGAGCUAAUACCGGAUAACAUUUUCUCUUGCAUAAGAGAAAAUUUGAAAGAUGGUUUCGGCUAUCACUUACAGAUGGGCCCGCGGUGCAUUAGCUAGUUGGUGAGGUAACGGCUCACCAAGGCAACGAUGCAUAGCCGACCUGAGAGGGUGAUCGGCCACACUGGGACUGAGACACGGCCCACACUCCUACGGGGGGCAGCAGUGGGGA
This 319-nucleotide ribosomal RNA is filed under the name Bacillus pumilus. RNAcentral describes it as "bacterial SSU rRNA". It matches the Rfam family "Bacterial small subunit ribosomal RNA", at positions 52 to 360 of the family's 1533-position model. The record is from RNAcentral. Lineage: Bacteria; Bacillati; Bacillota; Bacilli; Caryophanales; Bacillaceae.